UACGAAGGGGGCUAGCGUUGUUCGGAAUCACUGGGCGUAAAGCGCACGUAGGCGGACUGGUCAGUUGGGGGUGAAAUCCCGGGGCUCAACCUCGGAACUACCUUCAAUACUGCCAGUCUUGAGUCCGAGAGAGGUGAGUGGAAUUCCUAGUGUAGAGGUGAAAUUCGUAGAUAUUAGGAAGAACACCAGUGGCGAAGGCGGCUCACUGGCUCGGUACUGACGCUGAGGUGCGAAAGCGUGGGGAGCAAACAGG
This 253-nucleotide ribosomal RNA is filed under the name uncultured bacterium. Its description in RNAcentral is "partial 16S ribosomal RNA". It matches the Rfam family "Bacterial small subunit ribosomal RNA", at positions 524 to 776 of the family's 1533-position model. The record is from RNAcentral.